CCUACGGGGGACAGCAGUGGGGAAUAUUGCGCAAUGGGCGCAAGCCUGACGCAGCGACGCCGCGUGUGGGAUGAAGGUCUUCGGAUCGUAAACCUCUGUCAGCAGGGAAGAACGGUCACUGUGCUAAUCAGCAGUGAAUUGACGGUACCUGCAAAGGAAGCACCGGCUAACUCCGUGCCAGCAGCCGCGGUAAUACGGAGGGUGCGAGCGUUAAUCGGAAUUACUGGGCGUAAAGCGCUCGUAGGCGGUAUGUCAAGUCAAGGGUGAAAUCCCCGCGCUCAACGUGGGAACUGCCUUUGAAACUGGCAAACUGGAGUGUGGGAGAGGAUAGUGGAAUUCCAGGUGUAGGGGUGAAAUGCGUAGAGAUCUGGAGGAACAUCAGUGGCGAAGGCGACUAUCUGGCACAUAACUGACGCUGAGGAGUGAAAGCGUGGGUAGCAAACAGGAUUAGAUACCCCAGUAGUC
Molecule: ribosomal RNA, 465 nt
Filed under: uncultured bacterium
Lineage: Bacteria
Description: partial 16S ribosomal RNA
Rfam family: Bacterial small subunit ribosomal RNA
Source: RNAcentral